CGCCGUUCAGAAACUUAACUUGAUGAACAAAGACUGUGCUACUGCAAAUUAUUAUCGUACUAUUGAGGAUGGCUAUUGCACUGCACUUCAAUACUUCUACUGUAGCACAGUCAAGAGGAAGCAGCAGGUGAUCCGAGUGCAGGUGAAAGCCAGUGAGAAUGCAGACGACGCUACACUGAGUGCACUCGUCUUACGCAAGUUACAGCAGACGCUGGGCGAUCAGGACGUCACACUGACAUGGAAGAAACAACCGAACGGAAAAGUCUUCCAGAAGAAAAAGACUGUGCGAAAAAGUAGUAAUGCCAGUACUCCAGUUUGCUCACGUUCUUUCAUGUAGUGAAAUUUAUCAAAUUAAUGCUUCAUUUUAUUCUUAGCUACAGAUAUCUGAAUUAAACUAGAUUAAAUCACAACUUACAAGUAAUUAGUCAAAAAUAUUUCCAUAUAUUAAUUUUGCAUUUGUUCAUUUAGCAGACAGAUAUGUACACCUGAAUGAGCUAACAAAUGUAAACACCUUUUAGCACAGUAAAAUCUUCAUGAAGAAUAAAUAAAGGCCUAAAAAACUUCCUGCAUACACGAGGAAAAAGAGCAGGUGUGUUUCUUUUUUAGUUUCCGCGCUCAUAUAUUUUUAUGAAUUCAAUUGUAAUAAGCAAAAGUUGUUUUAUUCCACGUUUCUUCAAGAAGGUGAGUGAAGAGAAUUUGUUUGUAUCAUCAUAAAAGAUCACGGUUUUCAAAUAACCUCAAUUAAAGUCCCUGUAAAGUCAUAUUAAAGUAUGUGUUCUGAGUUUGUCACACCACAGAAAAAUGUGUUAUUAACCACCCAGCCAAAUUUGAAUUAUUAAAAAAAAAAAAAAAAAAAAAAAAAAAGCCAAAUAAAUAAGUUAUCAAAAUCGUGAAAAAAUAAGCAGUAUUCUCUGCUCUCAAACGCUGGGGGCGUGUCCGCUGUCUGAGCUGAAAACACACCCACUCGUGAGAGCUGCCGUCUCUCAACUAAUGAGUCAAUUAAUGAUGCAUAUAAGCAAAAGAAUCAUGUUAGAGGGUUGCAAAAUUAAGUAGUGUUACUGUGGACUACCUACUAAUUAUAACAUAAGCACACAAGGCAACUUACCCUCAUUGGUGGGCACGUACUGCCGACUGUUGUCAACAGAUGUCUGCGCCGCGAGAUGGGAGGAUGAAGGCUGGGACGGGAGAGACUCUGUCCGGCCCCAUAUCAUCGGUUGUCGGUGGGACGGGAGGAUGAAGGCCAAGGCGGGAGGUGUAAAAU
Long non-coding RNA from Ctenopharyngodon idella (grass carp), 1261 nucleotides. RefSeq lists it as uncharacterized. NCBI's taxonomy places the organism in Eukaryota, Metazoa, Chordata, Actinopteri, Cypriniformes, Xenocyprididae. The transcript has 3 exons. The record is from RefSeq and is a predicted model, not a curated record.